CUAGUGGUAACUGUUUAGGAAUGUAAAUUAUUUUUUAUUCAUUUCUCUCUCAUCUGUGUAAUUUCCCCUCGCCUAGAUGAUUUAAUUAAUUUCAUUUCAGCCCCUGAAGCCAUCAGUUUAUUUCGCGCGUCUUCCCUUCCUUGCCCAUCUACCUUCUGCUCGUCUCCCAUUGUGUGAAUGAGAGCUGCUUCAAAUCUCUACAUUUCCAGUUCAAGCAUUAGUGGGGUCACAAUUGCCUUCUACUCGUCUUCUCCGAUAAGUCCCUGUCGCAACUCCUAUUCCGAGUGGGUUUGGCGAUGGAGUCACAACUGCAUGGAGUCCCUUCCUUCACUACCCUUUUACAGGAGGGGGAAGAAACCUACAAUGACCAACUGAAGCCACUGUGCAGCCAGUUCUAUAAGUUAUGUUUUGAUUUGUUUUUGUAUAGAAUGUAAGCAAAGUUCCCAUGCUAAAUUGUCUUAAUAGUGUAAUGUGUUCUCUCUUUUGGAAAUUAUCAUCGUGGCACACUAGAUUAUGAGUAUUAGCAUGUAUCCAAAGCAGAAAAGAAAAUUGACUGAGAUUGAAGUUCUUAGAAUGUUUGAAUAUUAUUAGUAUGAAUCUUUAUUUUGUGAAUGAAUGAAAUGCGAGUAUUAUUUGAA
Long non-coding RNA from Carya illinoinensis, 638 nucleotides. RefSeq lists it as uncharacterized. The transcript has 2 exons. The record is from RefSeq and is a predicted model, not a curated record. NCBI's taxonomy places the organism in Eukaryota, Viridiplantae, Streptophyta, Magnoliopsida, Fagales, Juglandaceae.